Fundulus heteroclitus (mummichog) is the source of this 925-nucleotide long non-coding RNA. RefSeq lists it as uncharacterized. The record is from RefSeq and is a predicted model, not a curated record. The transcript is spliced from 3 exons. Lineage: Eukaryota; Metazoa; Chordata; Actinopteri; Cyprinodontiformes; Fundulidae.
GUCAGGAGGAGCGGUAGAGAAGAAAACCUGUGAAUGAGCCCAUUAGAGCUAACAUGGCCAAACGUCGUUCGCCUUAUUAAAGAUAUUUGGAGGAUUACACAGCAGAGAUCCCAAGGAGUACCAAGCACAGAUGGAAAGUAAAAGACAGAACUGCAGGACUACACAGAAGAACACAUAAGUCACCCUGUUGCAUCCCGCAGAGAAGUUACAGAUGUUGACAGCAGGAGUUCCUCCACUAUAAGGGUUUUGGACAUUGCCUUUCAACAGGGCUCUGAAGACCAAGCAGAUGGUGACAACCCCCUAUAUCCUGGUGCAUCUUUUUUCAAGGGAGAAAGUCUACUGAUGCUCAUGUUAUAUGUGCUGCGACACAAUUUAACAAGCAAAGCAGUUACUCACUUAUUGGAAAUGUUUAACCUAAAGUUUCCAGGUCUGAUUUUACCCAUUUCCACAAAGAAUUUAGAGGUUCAUCAUAAUCUGAAGUUAACUUUUAUUGUGAAAAAUGCCUUGUAUACCUUGGCAAUAGUGCACACUGUUACAAUCAUUGUAACCUUUGCAACACAGCGUUUUAGGCCAACAGGAGUUUAAAAAAUGACUUCUACUUUCUGGUAAUUCACCUUCAUGAUUAAUUAAUGACUUGGUUAUUUUUAAACAAACUGGUUCAAAUAAAAUUUCUGCUUUGUGUUCAUGUGCCAGACUAUGUUUUGUUUUAGUUGAAGUAUUUGCUAAUUCAGAGAGACCUUUAUGUAAAGAUUCACAGAUCAAUAUACAAAGUACUUUCUUGUUUGAGGUUAAAAAGCCUGACAUGAUUCUAACCAAAUGUGUUGUUGUUGAAAGAGAUAGUGCUGUGUACAUAAAACCACUGCCUGCCAAAUGCUUGUGAAAGAGACUAGAACUUGUCCAAUAAAGUCAGUCACAUGUUUCCCUG